GAAGGCCUUCGGGUUGUAAAAUCCUUUUCCGGGCGAUGAGGAAGGACACUAGCCUGGGAAUAAGCGUCGGCUAACUACGUGCCAGCAGCCGCGGUAAGACGUAGGACGCGAGCGUUAUCCGGAUUUACUGGGCGUAAAGCGCCUGCAGGCGGUCAGGUAAGUCGGUUGUGAAAGCCCCGUGCUCAACGCGGGGAGGCCAAGCGAUACUGCGUGACUUGAGGGCGGAAGAGGGGAGUGGAAUUCCCGGUGUAGCGGUAAAAUGCGCAGAUAUCGGGAGGAACACCAGUGGCGAAGGCGGCUCCCUGGACCGCACCUGACGCUCAGAGGCGAAAGCUAGGGGAGCGAACAGGAUUAGAGACCCUGGUAGUCCUAGCCCUAAACGCUGGAUGCUAGGUGUAGGGCUGAUGAGGCUCUGUGCCGGAGCGAACGCGAUAAGCAUCCCGCCUGGGAACUACGGCCGCAAGGCUAAAACUCAAACGAAUUGACGGGGACCCGCACAAGCAGCGGAGCGUGUGGUUUAAUUCGAUGCUACACGAAGAGCCUUACCUGGGUUUGACAUGCUGGUGGUACCGAACCGAAAGGGGAGGGACCCUUCGGGGAGCCAACACAGGUGCUGCAUGGCUGUCGUCAGCUCGUGCCGUGAGGUGUCGGGUUAAGUCCCGUAACGAGCGCAACCCUUGCUCUUAGUUAUACGUGUCUAAGGGGACUGCCGGCGACAAGCCGGAGGAAGGUGGGGAUGACGUCAAGUCAGCAUGGCCUUGAUAUCCAGGGCUACACACACGCUACAAUGGCCGGUACAAAGGGCAGCCAAGCCGCGAGGUGGAGCGAAUCCCAGCAAAGCCGGUCCCAGUUCGGAUUGCAGGCUGCAACCCGCCUGCAUGAAGUUGGAGUU
RNAcentral lists this ribosomal RNA (892 nucleotides) under uncultured Chloroflexota bacterium. RNAcentral's name for it is "bacterial SSU rRNA". It matches the Rfam family "Bacterial small subunit ribosomal RNA", at positions 410 to 1333 of the family's 1533-position model. Lineage: Bacteria; Bacillati; Chloroflexota. The record is from RNAcentral.